RNAcentral lists this ribosomal RNA (741 nucleotides) under cyanobacterium enrichment culture clone 5_16_5.2.1_C11-T7. RNAcentral describes it as "bacterial SSU rRNA". It matches the Rfam family "Bacterial small subunit ribosomal RNA", at positions 9 to 792 of the family's 1533-position model. Lineage: Bacteria; Bacillati; Cyanobacteriota. The record is from RNAcentral.
GAGUUUGAUCCUGGCUCAGGAUGAACGCUGGCGGUCUGCUUAACACAUGCAAGUCGAACGGAGUCCUUCGGGAUUUAGUGGCGGACGGGUGAGUAACGCGUGAGAAUCUGCCCUUAGGUUGGGGACAACAGUUGGAAACGACUGCUAAUACCCAAUGUGCCGAGAGGUGAAAGGUUAACUGCCUGGGGAUGAGCUCGCGUCUGAUUAGCUAGUUGGAGUGGUAACGGCACACCAAGGCGACGAUCAGUAGCUGGUCUGAGAGGAUGAUCAGCCACACUGGGACUGAGACACGGCCCAGACUCCUACGGGAGGCAGCAGUGGGGAAUUUUCCGCAAUGGGCGAAAGCCUGACGGAGCAAGACCGCGUGAGGGAGGAAGGCCUAUUGGUUGUAAACCUCUUUUGAUAGGGAAGAACACAAUGACGGUACCUAUCGAAUCAGCAUCGGCUAACUCCGUGCCAGCAGCCGCGGUAAUACGGAGGAUGCAAGCGUUAUCCGGAUUUAUUGGGCGUAAAGCGUCCGUAGGUGGCAAACCAAGUCAGUUGUUAAAGCGUAGAGCUUAACUCUAUAAGGGCAAUUGAAACUGGUUAGCUAGAGUGCGAUAGGGGCAAGGGGAAUUCCCAGUGUAGCGGUGAAAUGCGUAGAUAUUGGGAAGAACAUCGGUGGCGAAGGCGCCUUGCUGGGUCUGCACUGACACUGAGGGACGAAAGCUAGGGGAGCGAAAGGGAUUAGAUACCCCUGUA